GGAAGAAUUUUCUUAGAACCAAAAGGCAUGGAAUUGAUGACAUGAAACUGCCUGAGCUUCUCAGCUGACCUGUGAUGGAGUGUUGUGCCCAAGUGGAAAGUUCUUCUUUCUUUCAGAGACAUAUCAUUCACCAUAAAAUACAACCAGAGACUUCAAAAUUACUCCAGGCUAGAAGGACACUCCAAUUAGGGGAAAAGUAACCUAUGGGCAAACCAUCUUCCAUAAGAGUUCAAGGACAAAAGACUACUCAUGUUGUAAUAACAUUGAAACUUAAUGUUUUGGGCAAUCCUUAAGUAAUUUAUUUGGAGUAUCCCAGUCAUUUUAGUCCUCUUCACCUUACAAUGUGUUGUGUGAGAUUAUAUUUCCGUGCACCUAAUUUUAAAAUAAAUUUAUUUAGGCAGAUGUAGAGACAUAUUACUGUGAUAAAGCAGUUCAUACUAAAUAAAAUUGAGCUAA
Molecule: long non-coding RNA, 456 nt
Filed under: Pan troglodytes (chimpanzee)
Lineage: Eukaryota; Metazoa; Chordata; Mammalia; Primates; Hominidae
Description: lincRNA
Source: RNAcentral